This 783-nucleotide non-coding RNA is filed under the name Graphium androcles. Lineage: Eukaryota; Metazoa; Arthropoda; Insecta; Lepidoptera; Papilionidae. The record is from RNAcentral.
UAAAAAUUUUAUGAUUUUGUAAAUUUAAUUUAAAUUUAAUUUACAUAUAAAUUUUAGUGUUAAUUUUAUAUUAUUUUAAUAAUUUUAUAUGAAUUAAAUUAGUAAUUAAUAUUAAAAAUUUAAGAAAUUAAGAUUUAGUAAUAUUUAUAAUUAUGAACAAAUUUUGUGCCAGCAGUUGCGGUUAUACAAAAUAUAAUUUAAAUUUUAUUAGUGAAUAAUAAUUAUAUUUAUUAAAAAAAAAUUAAAUAAAAAAAAUUAUUAGGUGAAAUUUUAAUUUAUUAAAAAUUUUUAAUUAAGUUAUGUUUUAAAAAAUUUUAUAAAAAACUAGGAUUAGAUACCCUAUUAUUAAAAAUUAAAUUAAAAUACUAAAAAAGUAGAUAAUAAUUUAUUGAAACUUAAAUAAGUUGGCGGUAUUUUAGUUCAUUUAGAGGAAUCUGUCUAAUAAUUGAUAAUCCACGAAUAAAUUUACUUAAUUUAUAAUUUUGUAUAUCGUUGUUAAAAAAAUAUUUAAUAAUAAUAAUAAUAUUUCAUAAUUAUAAAAAAAAAUAGUUCAGAUCAAGAUGCAGAUAAUAAUUAAGAAUAUGAUGGAUUACAAUAAUGAUUAUAAUAAUUAAAUGGAUUUUAUUUUGGAAAAAAUAAAUGAAGGUGGAUUUAAAUGUAAUUUUAUUUAGUUUAUUAAAAUGAUUAUAAAUUAAAAUAUGUACAUAUUGCCCGUCACUUUCAUUAAAAAAUUGAAAUAAGUCGUAACAAAGUAGAGGUACUGGAAAGUGUUUCUAGAAAGAA